RNAcentral lists this ribosomal RNA (373 nucleotides) under uncultured bacterium. RNAcentral describes it as "bacterial SSU rRNA". It matches the Rfam family "Bacterial small subunit ribosomal RNA", at positions 527 to 898 of the family's 1533-position model. The record is from RNAcentral.
GUAGGUGGCAAGCGUUAUCCGGAAUUACUGGGCGUAAAGCGCACGCAGGUGGUUGUCUAAGUUCGACGUGAAAGCGCCUGGCUUAACUGGGCGAGGUCGUUGGAGACUGGAUGACUGGAGGCGAGGAGAGGGGUGUAGAAUUCCCGGUGUAGUGGUGGAAUGCGUAGAGAUCGGGAGGAAUACCAGUGGCGAAAGCGGCACCCUGGCCUUGGCCUGACGCUCAUGUGCGAAAGCGUGGGGAGCAAACGGGAUUAGAUACCCCGGUAGUCCACGCUGUAAACGAUGAAUACUAGGUGUAGGUCAUCUCAAAAUGGUCUGUACCGCAGCUAACGCGAUAAGUAUUCCGCCUGGGGAGUACGGCCGCAAGGCUAAA